CAGUUCGGAUUGUAGGCUGAAACUCGCCUACAUGAAGCUGGAGUUACUAGUAAUCGCAGAUCAGAAUGCUGCGGUGAAUGCGUUCCCGGGUCUUGUACACACCGCCCGUCACACCACGGAAGUUGGGGGCGCCCGAAGCCACUUAUCUAACCCUUUUGGGAAGCGAGUGUCGAAGGUGAAAUCAAUAACUGGGGUGAAGUCGUAACAAGGUAUC
Molecule: ribosomal RNA, 214 nt
Filed under: uncultured bacterium
Lineage: Bacteria
Description: partial 16S ribosomal RNA
Rfam family: Bacterial small subunit ribosomal RNA
Source: RNAcentral